GGGCUUGUGGCUCAGUGUAACAGCCGUUGUUUGGCAUGCAAAAGGCCCCAGGUUCGAUCCCUGGCAUCUCCA
RNAcentral lists this transfer RNA (72 nucleotides) under Sphaerodactylus townsendi. RNAcentral describes it as "tRNA-Ala". It matches the Rfam family "tRNA". From Rfam's summary of the family: Transfer RNA (tRNA) molecules are approximately 80 nucleotides in length. The record is from RNAcentral. Lineage: Eukaryota; Metazoa; Chordata; Lepidosauria; Squamata; Sphaerodactylidae.